Molecule: long non-coding RNA, 7589 nt
Organism: Mytilus californianus (California mussel)
Lineage: Eukaryota; Metazoa; Mollusca; Bivalvia; Mytilida; Mytilidae
Exons: 4
Source: RefSeq, a predicted model, not a curated record
CAUUCCAGCUUGGAAUAGAACUUGGACUUACGGUUGUUCAGAUGCAGCAGAUUGAAAACAACCAUGUGACAAAUCUUCGUAGCCAAACAGAGGAGGUCCUUAACAAAUGGAGGAGACUUCCAGAAGCUACAUAUGAAGUUUUAGAACGGGCUCUUCAUCGCCUUCACUUGUCUCGAGUUUUAUCAUUCUUAACAUAUGAAGAAGGAUUAGAGGAACAAGUGGAAGUAGGAAUAGAGGAGGAAGUGGAAGUAAGAUUAAAAGAGGAAGUGGCAGAGAGAAUCAUACACGACAUACAAAUCAGUCAGAUUUUAGAUUAUAUGAUGUCACAUUUGGUAAUAUCAUCAGAUGACAGACGAAGCAUUGAACAACCUGUUAGACAAGAUGAUCAGAAUAAAGCAUUACUUGAAGUAGUGAACAAGAGGGGAGAGCCUACCUAUUCUGUGUUUGUUGAUGCACUACGAACAAGUGGAUACACAGAUCUAGCAAAUGAUUUGAAAUGUGAAUCACAUGAAGAAGCCUCAAGUGCAGCAUUAGUAUAUACUGAAAACAUGGAAAAUAAAGGGUUGUCAAAUUGGACUGUUCCGAUGUAUAAAGUUCGUCUACAAAAGAACUACUCAAACAUCAUUGACAGUAUACAGCAUGAGAAAAUAGUCGAUCAUCUGAUAUCACGUGAUGUGUUGACCAUAGCUGAUAGUCAAAUGAUAAAUGCUUGUCCAGCACAAAUACAAAAGAACAGGAAAUUAAUGGACAUACUUUUGCAUGAAAGUGAACAUGAAUUUAUUGAAUUUAUCAAAGCUCUCCGAGAAGACUCUGUAUAUGCAGAACUGGCAGAUGAAAUAGAAAACACAACAGUCGCAAGCAGAGAUAUAUCAACCAUUAAGAGUUGCUUCAAAUGAACUGAAGGAGAAGACAAGAUAAAAUACCUGAAACGGAAACCACAAAGUAUCGUCAAAGUCUUUUUAUCAACAUCUCCUUGUUAGACACCAAUGAACAAAGAAGAUGAUGAUUGGAGGGAGACGUACAUAAAUUAACCAAAGCAAUAUAACCCAAUUAAAUGUGGACCAAUAUUUGUACCCUUAUAUUAUGUAUUUUUGAGUUAACAACUGAUAAUAGGAAAAUUUGAAAUAUUUAUUUAUAAUAGCUAUAAUGUCGAGCUCUCAUGGUAGAAUUUAAAAGGUAUUUUAAUUUGUUGCUAAUUUUUGAUAAUAGUGUUUACCUGUAUAUUUAUGUUACCUGUAACUUAUCAUAUUGACCAAAAUUCCGUGAAGAGUAUAUUUUUUAAUGUAGUCAUUUGUUUUUCGUUUUUUUUUUAUAUUUGCAAGAUAAUUUAAAAUUUAUUUCAGUUUGUAAGUUAUUGAAUUUCAGUUUUAAGGUUUAUGAAACUAGAUUAUUUAAGUGUAGUUAUAUAACAUAACAUAUAUCAAAUGUGAAGUUUUCGGGCAGAAUUAAUAGACAUGUUAGCAGUAUGUCUGAUACCUAAGAAAGCCAACAAUUGCAAGCGACUUAAAACCAAACAUGAAUACCAGUGAUGUUUGACCCUUCCACAGAUAGUGUGGCAGAAACCUACUACUGUGAAGGACAUAGACACUAAGGUGUUGAUAGUAUGACAGAAACUGUUUACUUUUAUAGUUAAAUCUUUUUACCAUGAAGGUUACAAUACAGACUCUAAGGUGCAGAUAGCUUGGCAGAAGAAAAAAUCUUCCAAGGAGAGAAGUUAUUGUUUAAUGCUAUAUUCAGUUUAAAUUAUUACGAGCCAGUGUUAUCCCUUUGUGUCCUUUCUGAAAUUAUUGGACCAUGCAAUUCGAUCCAAAAUCGGUAGAAAUUACUUAAGAAAGGUCUUGUUUAAUGUUCUCUUUUAUGCUGUUUAAAUCAAAUGAAAAGAAUGUCUGCCUUCGGAAAUCUUAGACAGCAGGGGAUGUACGGCAAAUUUUUAUCGGGGGAUUAUUCUUUAUUCUUCUCUGAGUGUACAAGGGAAUUGUAUUUUAUCUGUCAGAAAUUAAUCAUGUGAAGAGCAUUUGUUAAUGAUCAUCAUUUGUUAUUUAUCAGAUGGCAAACGUGAAACCAUUGGUUGUACAUUACACAAAUCUGUCAAAUCCUACACCUGCUGUAAAUAUUUCAACAAGAACCUGACAGGAAGUUGUGUGUUCUUGUGUCUCAAUCUUUAGCAUGUUAUGUUGUGUAUUGGGACAUAUUCAGUUUUCUUGCGGUUUAUAUGUUUUGUAGUGUUGUUGUCAGUUUGACUACGACGUGUGUGAUUUUAAUGUCUCCUUGGUAUAUUUUGGCGCUUUGUAUUGCAUGGUUCUCUAGAAAUGAUGUCCAUUUGAUGAGAUAAAGAAUUUUACCACCAGAGGCAAUCUUCAGUUCUGAUUGAAAAAAGAACAUUAACAUCAGACAAACACUUUUUAAUUCAAAUAGAUAAUACACAACUAAAGAAGGUGUUAUUUUAUUCUUAUGGAUGACAAACUCAACCACUAGGGGUAAUCUUUUAUUUUUGAUGGAUGAAAAACUCAACCACCAAGGGAAAUUUGGAAUUCUACUGGACGAAGAAGAACUCAACAGCAAGGGGCAAUUUUGUAUUCUUAUGGACGAAGAACUCAACCACCAAGGGCAAUCUUUUUAUCUCAUGGACGAAAAACUUAACCACCAGGGGCAAUCUUGUAUUCUGAUGGACAAAGAACUCAACCACCAGGGGUAAUCUUUUAUUCUUAUGAAUGAAGAAUUCAACCACCAGGGGCAAUAUUUUAUUCUUAUGGAUGAAGAACUUAACCAUUAGGGGCAAUCUUUAGAGUUCAUCGACGAAGACAUUGACACCGGAGGCAAAUUUUAAUUCUAAAAGACAACACCACCACAUGCAGUUUUUAUUUCUAUUGCUGAAAAGUUAGGCUACUAGAUACACCUUUUUUAUUCUAAUUGAUUAAAAACAAGACAACCAGAGGCUAUUUGUUAUUUUAUUGCCGACAAACAAGACCACCAGAUGCAACUUUUAUUUCUAUAAACUGAUGAAGAACUCACCCAACUGAUGCGAAAUUCAGGUUUAUUGCUUAUUUUGUGUGUGUUUUUACAUGUCUCUUUGACAAAUAGCUUAUAUUGCAACCAUUGUAAAUAGGAGUGUAAAAUAAAUAAUAUUGUAUAUAUAUAUUUUGCAGUAUAUUUUGUUUUUGUUACACAUGAAUUACAUUGUCACUUUCUUUUGUGCUUGUUAAUUGACGUAGCUUUUUUGCAACUAACACAUGUAACAUUUAUCAUGAUUAGUUGAAGGUUCAUACAGAUAAUGUUUAUGAGUAUGUAAUUUAUCAAGUGGUGUCUUAGCUUUUUUUGUCAACGUAAAAUGCAGGCGUCUUUAGUGAAACCGGCAAAAUACAGUGUGUGCACUCUUGUUAAACUGUGAAUGAUAAAUCAUUGCAACAUUUUUUUUUUUAUAUGUAAAGCUUGUUGAAGAAGUGAACGAGGGUUAUAUUUCAACAUCAAUGUCCCAUACACUUUCAAAUUUACAAAUACUUCAUCGUACAUGUAUUUGUUGGUUAUAAACUUUCGGAAAGUAUGUUUUAUCAACUGUCAGAGCUACACGAAAAAUGUCUUUUCCGAAAUAAGAAACGAAACUGGCUGGACAUAAGAUUUUUUUUAACUGUGCUCCUUGUAUGAUAACCUUUGUCAGUCAUACAUAGUAUGAUAGAUUAGAGUUAUACGUUGUUCUUCACAACAGAUGACGCUUAUCUAGUUAUCCUAUGAAAAUAAAAACAACAAGUUAUACAUGCGUCCGAAGCGCUUUUUUCGGCUUUACUUUCAUCAGGCACGCUCAAAGUCGAAUAUUUGAAAACCAAGGAUGUAUAAGAACCGAAACAGUUAAAGAUCUAUAUGACCAAACCGACAUAAACAUAUCCAAAUCCACCUAAGGUCAAUUAUGCCUGAUGAGUUGAAACCUUAAAGGAUUAAUUGUGGUCUGUAUGAUAUUUGUGAUAUUUGUGAAAAUGGAACUUAAGUUCGUGAUAACAAAUCAAAAAUACUAACAGGCAUAUAUAUUUAAUGAGUUUAAAUACGUCACUGUUUGUGGUACCUGUGCUGCGAUAAAGAAAGAUGUCCGUUGUUAUGCGUUUCAAUGUACUAUUAUAUUAUUUAUGAAUGCGUUUCUCUCUGUUGAGUGUUCUUGUGUUUGUUUGUACUGUAUUCCUGUCACGUAGUGUUGUCAUUUUAGCGAUAUUUUUUAACAUAGCCAUAUAAGCGGGAAGUUUGGCUAGCCAUAAAACCAGGUUCAACCAACAUUUUUUUUUAAAUGUCCUGUACUAAGUCCUGAAGAUAGCAGUUGUUAGUUGAUGUGUUUCCCGCAGUUUUAGUUUGUAACCCGGAUUUUUUCCUCUCAACCGAUUAAGGUAGAUUUCAACCCAGUCAAUCAACCUGUUUAAUUAAGAUAGAUUGAAUCACAACACAUAUGGUACUGUGCUUAUAUCUUUAGACUGCAUUGAAGAACUAUGAUUUUCUCGACAAGCAAUAACAACUGAAUAAAUGAUCCAUAUGCUCACUCAUUUAUUGUUUAUGUUAUAAGUUAUUCAUUGUUUGAAACAGCACGAACCUUAUAUGUAUGUUGAUUGUAUGCAAGUUAUUCUUUAUUUGAAUCAAAAUGUUUUAUGUGUUGUCCUUUGCUUUUAGUUAUUCAUUAUGAAUUAUAAUUUUUGUUCAUUUACAUAUCAUGUAUAUAAUUAGUUCGGUAUUGCAAUAUGGACCUUCAAUUCAUAUGUUUUUGUGUAUGAGCUUUUCAUUAUAAUUGCAAAAAGUGCAUGAGUCAUUUAUUUUUUGUAUCGAAGCCUUGUUCUUUAAAUGUCUUUGUAUAUAGGAUAUUCUUUAUUUGAAUGGGGACUAUACAUGUGUACGUCAAUCAUUCAUAUUUUUUGUAUAUAAGUUAUUCUUUAUUUGAAUAGGGACCGUGCAUGUGUGUGCUUAUAUCUUUAGACUGCAUUGAAGAACUAUGAUUUUCUCGACAAGCAAUAACAACUGAAUAAAUGAUCCAUAUGCUCACUCAUUUAUUGUUUAUGUUAUAAGUUAUUCAUUGUUUGAAACAGCACGAACCUUAUAUGUAUGUUGAUUGUAUGCAAGUUAUUCUUCAUUUGAAUCAAAAUGUUUUAUGUGUUUUUCUUUGCUUUUAGUUAUUCAUUAUGAAUUAUAAUUUUUGUUCAUUUACAUAUCAUGUAUAUAAUUAGUUCGGUAUUGCAAUAUGGACCUUCAAUUUAUAUGUUUUUGUGUAUGAGCUUUUCAUUAUAAUUGCAAAAAGUGCAUGAGUUAUUUAUUUUUUGUAUCGAAGCCUUGUUUUUUUAAUGUCUUUGUAUUUAGGAUAUUCUUUAUUUGGAUGGGAACUAUACAUGUGUACGUCAAUCAUUCAUAUUGUUUUGUAUAUAAGAUAUUCUUUAUUUGAAUAGGGACCGUACAUGUGUAUGCAAUGCAUGAAUAUGACUGUGUAAAAAAGUUAUCCUUUAUUUGAAUGGGGACCAAAUAUGUGUAUGCAAUGCAUUCAUUUGGCUUUGUUUAUAAGUUAUUCUUUAUUUGAACGGGGACCACACAUAUGUAUGCCAUGCAUUCAUUUACAUUUGUAUAUAGGUUAUUCUGUAUUUGAACGGGGACAACACAUGUGUAUGCCAUGUAUUCAAUUGCAUUUGUAUAUAAUUUAUUCUUUAUUUGAACGGGGACCACACAUGUGUAUGCCAUGCAUUCAUUUGCAUUUGUAUAUAAGUUAUUCUUUUUUUGAAUUUGGGACCUUACAUUUAUAUACAUUGCUAUCUUUUUUUUAUAAGUUUUUCAUUAUAUGGAUAAGAACCUUGCAAUUAAGUUUCUUUGUAUGUACAUGAUACUUAAUGUGAAUCUGGACCCUAUAUUGACAUUCUGUUGUAUAUAUCUUAUACAUUAAUACUAUCAGGAGCUUACAUUUUUAUGUUUAUAUCAGUACCUCCUUAUUUGAACCAAGACCUUAUAUUUUCAUUUUUAUAAAAGUUAUACUUUGUUUGAAUUAUUCAUAGAUAUAAGAAGAUGUGUUAUGAAUGUUAAUGAGACAACUCUCAAUCCAAAUCACAAUUUGUAAAAAGUCAACCAUUAUAAGUCAAAGUACGGCCUUCAACACGGAGCCUUGGCUCACACAUACAUGUUUUAUCCUUUGUUAUUAACUUAAAUAUAAUUUGAAUUAGGAUUACAUUUAUUCUCUGUUGUAUAUAACUUAUUCUCUAAUUUUUCUGCUAUUUUAAUAUAACAUUUCUUGAUCGGUGUGAGAAAAAUAUUUCUCCUCACUAGUGAAAUAUCAAUUCUCGACAAAUCACUGGUCGAAAUGUAAUUAUGACAUCUAAUUUUCUUGGUUUCUUCUGAAUUUCCUAUUGUGACUUCAUGAAAAAAAGGCGACCAUGCCUAUUGACGUCACAUAUAAAGAACACAACUUUCUGCAAAUCUUUUAAACAAAAGGAUAAAAAUCAUUAAAUAAACAGAUUCCACCACUAUAACUCGUGUAUUACGGUUUUGUAUGGUAUUGACAAUAUUUACUUAUGUUCUCCACUUUCAACAGUAAAAUUCUAAUUAUUUAAAAAGUUCGGCAAACCUCCCGUUUUAAAUAUUAAAAUUUAACUGUCUCGAGUGAAGAAAUAUCGUAACACACUUGUUGCAGUUGUGGAAUCCAUAUUUCUUUAGAAAUUUAGUAUUGUAAAUUUGUGUAUUCUGUGUGUAAUGUGCAUGAUAGUGAUUAACCUAUGUCAUUCUCAAAAUGUUCAAUAUUAUACUGUGUACCAGAGUUACCACCAUCUCGAAUUUCAGAUAGACAUCAAGAACAAACAAAAAUAAUAUAUGGUCACAGUUAUAUUAUUUAUACAAUGUUCAAAUAAGAUUUGUGAGCCAGUUUCUUAGAAGCACAUAUUCGACCUACGACAUGGUUCUAUGAAUGGCGUGUACAUCUGUAGGUAACAAGCAACUUAAACAACUUAAACACUCCAUGUUAUUUAUCAGAAAUGCCUAAUGCUGACAGUUAUAACGGAUAUCAUGUGAAUGCUGCUUCUAUCUUACUUAACGUCUUAUUGAACAGCGGUAUACUACUGUUGCCUUUAUUUAACAAUGUAUGUGUAAAUGUAAUUUGUCCAUUUAAAAAGCUAAAAUUUCCCAAAAAAAAAAAUCAAGGAGCAAGGCACAUUAUACUUAUCUUAAAAAGAGAGCUGAAUCUAGUGAUAUACUUUAUAUACUGGCCAUAACUUAAACAUGUCAAUGCUGUUCAUUAAACAAAUGCACGGAUGACCUACAGAUAACAUUUUUGUUCAUUAAUUCAAUAAAUGUACAACAUGAAGUUGUGGUAUCUAGUACGAGCUUUACAAAAUCAAAUUUUAUCAUUAACGGAACAAGUGAAACACGACUGCUAUAAUCCUGACUUGGUACAGGCAUUUUCCGAUAAAAAGGGUAGUUUAACCUGGUUUUAUAUCUAUGUAAACCUUCCAAUUGUAGGAUAAAGAUAUGAUCGUUUUUUUCAGUGUAUUUAAUAUUGACAUAUGUACUACUUGUAUAUGAUAUUUAUUAUUUGCUUAUGUUUAUAUAUGUUCUGUAACAUUAUUUUCCUGACUAUAAAGUAUCAACCACUA